CUGCGAGUGAAGCGGGAAAAGCUCAAAUUUAAAAUCUGGCAGUCUUCGAUUGUCCGAGUUGUAAUCUAGAGAAGCAUUAUCCGCGCUGGACCGUGUACAAGUCUCCUGGAAUGGAGCGUCAUAGAGGGUGAGAAUCCCGUCUUUGACACGGACUGCCAGGGCUUUGUGAUGUGCUCUCAAAGAGUCGAGUUGUUUGGGAAUGCAGCUCAAAAUGGGUGGUAAAUUCCAUCUAAAGCUAAAUAUUGGCGAGAGACCGAUAGCGAACAAGUACCGUGAGGGAAAGAUGAAAAGAACUUUGGAAAGAGAGUUAAACAGUACGUGAAAUUGCUGAAAGGGAAACGCUUGAAGUCAGUCGCGUUGUCCGGGAAUCAACCUUGCUUUUGCUGGGCGUACUUCCUGGUCAACGGGUCAGCAUCAAUUUUGACCGUUGGAAAAAGUGGCUGGGAAUGUGGCAUCUUCGGAUGUGUUAUAGCCCAGUUUCGUAUACAACGGUUGGGAUUGAGGAACUCAGCACGCCGCAAGGCCGGGUUUUUAACCACGUUCGUGCUUAGGAUGCUGGCAUAAUGGCUUUAAUCGACCCGUCUUGAAACACGGACCAAGGAGUCUAACAUGCCUGCGAGUGUUUGGGUGGAAAACCCGAGCGCGUAAUGAAAGUGAAAGUUGAGAUCCCUGUCGUGGGGGAGCAUCGACACCCGGACUUGAACUUCUGUGACGGAUCCCCGGUAGAGCAUGUAUGUUGGGACCCGAAAGAUGGUGAACUAUGCCUGAAUAGGGUGAAGCCAGAGGAAACUCUGGUGGAGGCUCGUAGCGAUUCUGACGUGCAAAUCGAUCGUCAAAUUUGGGUAUAGGGGCGAAAGACUAAUCGAAC
RNAcentral lists this ribosomal RNA (868 nucleotides) under Panaeolus desertorum. RNAcentral describes it as "Panaeolus sp. VM-2018a partial large subunit ribosomal RNA". It matches the Rfam family "Eukaryotic large subunit ribosomal RNA", at positions 87 to 940 of the family's 3401-position model. Lineage: Eukaryota; Fungi; Basidiomycota; Agaricomycetes; Agaricales. The record is from RNAcentral.